CGUGUACGUAUAUUAUCAGUAUGCUGAUGGGAGGUAUUGGGUGUACUCCCCAAUUCUGGGUCGUAAGAAGCUCAACUCAAGCUCUAGCUGCAAUAAUCAGGAGGACAGGAGCUGGGUGUACUCUCCUCUGCACUACGGCUCAGAGUCCAGACCUGGCUCUGACGGGGAGAGCGAGACAUAAGUUGAGUGGAGUCUCCAAUGUUAGCGAAUCACUUGAGAGGAUCGAAGACUACAGACAGAAGCUGUGAGGCUUUACGAAGCURCAUGAAGCUCUAUGAAGCUUCUACGGCAUUGUGUAACCCUUGUGGCCCAAUCUGCAUGUGAAGGCUUGUUUUACCCACAUGGAGGGAGAAGGAUUCUGUGGGAAAACUUAAUAAAAUGUUAUUUCUCUGCUUUGGCAAACACCUUCCUAACACACACGCACGCUAACACACACGUCUUCACACUCACACACCCUAACGUUGUCCUAUAUAAGUAUGCAACAAUAAUGUUCCCUUUGCCGCAAAAUCAACUCAUAAACAUGAAAGUAUGCAUAAUCUUCAAUGGGAGUAUUUUGAAUAAAACCAUAUUGCAACCCUUUCCAAACAUCAGCUAAGGCUGCCCAGAGAGACUAUCGUACAGUACUUUAGUUGGUCUUGUUGUGUUAAGAAUGAUAUUUGUCUUUUGUUACCUGUGCUUGUCUUUUGUUACUGGUGCUUGUCUUUUGUUAACUGUGCUGUAAUAUCAUGAAUUGAAUAUCAUGUGUUAUAUUGUCACGGUCAGGUUUUGGACUCCUAUGGUUAAAUGUUGGAGAGUUUUGUCUUUUUAUGCAGCAAAACCUUUUUUCUCAGUUUCUAAUGUUUUGUAGCGUUCACUGGUCUGAUGGUGAUGGUUUCAUAUUCAGCUCGAUCAAUAAUGUAAGUUGUGUUAAAGAAUCGUGAACAUUUCUGUCUGGAGUUGUGCUGGGCUCCGUGUUCUCACAGGGCACACUGACGUCUUUCACAAUGGUCAUGAAAACCUGAGCAUUUGAUUUCAUUACUAGCGCUCUAAAACUA
This is a long non-coding RNA of Salvelinus sp. IW2-2015, 1034 nucleotides long. RefSeq lists it as uncharacterized. The record is from RefSeq and is a predicted model, not a curated record. Lineage: Eukaryota; Metazoa; Chordata; Actinopteri; Salmoniformes; Salmonidae.